Molecule: ribosomal RNA, 498 nt
Filed under: Triticum aestivum (bread wheat)
Lineage: Eukaryota; Viridiplantae; Streptophyta; Magnoliopsida; Poales; Poaceae
Description: partial small subunit ribosomal RNA
Source: RNAcentral
AUGGUGUCUGGAUGGAUUUGGGGGCGCAUCGGCUGCAAAUUCGAUGCCAGCGGCCGCGGGCCGUGCAUCACGGGCAAUUGUGGUGGCGUGUUGUCCUGUGCCGCCGGUGGGAAGCCACCCGCGACGCUCGCCGAGUACACGCUAGGUAAGGGCGGCAGCCCUGACUUCUAUGACAUCCCCCUCGUCGAUGGAUUCAACGUGCCCAUGAGCUUUGGGCCUAUCGGCAGCAGCUGUCACGCGAUAAUCUGUACCGCGGACAUCAACGCAAAGUGCCCGUCGGAGCUGAAGGUGGACGGAGGCUGUGUGAGUGCGUGCAUCAAGUUCGGCACCACCCAAUACUGCUGCAUGCCGCCGCUUACGCCGUCGACCUGUGGGCCGACGGACUACUCGCGCUUCUUCAAGGGGCACUGUCCGGACGCCUACAGCUACGCCUACGAGAAGAGCAGCACCUUCACAUGCCACGUCCGAUCAGACUACCAAGUCACCUUCUGCCCAUAG